GCUAGAGGCAGUGGUACAUACCUGUUCUCCCUGCUGCUGGGGAGGCUGAGGCUGGUGGAUUGCUUGAGUUAUUGCUGCAGUAGGGUUAAAGCUGAUUGGGUUUCCCCACUAAGAUUGGCACCAAUAUGGUGAGCCCUAAGGAGUGGAGGACCCAUUAGGCUGCCUAAGGAGAGGCAAACUGCCCUAGGUCUUAAAUAGAGCAGGUCAAGCUUCCAUGCUGACCAGCAGUGGGUCAGACCCAUCAAUGGCCACUAGACUUCCAGUCUUGGUAACAUAGGGAGACCCAGUUUCA
This 292-nucleotide signal recognition particle RNA is filed under the name Phascolarctos cinereus (koala). RNAcentral describes it as "Metazoan signal recognition particle RNA (ENSPCIG00000007265.2)". It matches the Rfam family "Metazoan signal recognition particle RNA". From Rfam's summary of the family: The signal recognition particle (SRP) is a universally conserved ribonucleoprotein. Lineage: Eukaryota; Metazoa; Chordata; Mammalia; Diprotodontia; Phascolarctidae. The record is from RNAcentral.